AUGGACGCUGGCGGCGUGCCUAAUACAUGCAAGUCGAGCGAACAGACGAGGAGCUUGCUCCUCUGACGUUAGCGGCGGACGGGUGAGUAACACGUGGAUAACCUACCUAUAAGACUGGGAUAACUUCGGGAAACCGGAGCUAAUACCGGAUAAUAUAUUGAACCGCAUGGUUCAAUAGUGAAAGACGGUUUUGCUGUCACUUAUAGAUGGAUCCGCGCCGCAUUAGCUAGUUGGUAAGGUAACGGCUUACCAAGGCGACGAUGCGUAGCCGACCUGAGAGGGUGAUCGGCCACACUGGAACUGAGACACGGUCCAGACUCCUACGGGAGGCAGCAGUAGGGAAUCUUCCGCAAUGGGCGAAAGCCUGACGGAGCAACGCCGCGUGAGUGAUGAAGGUCUUCGGAUCGUAAAACUCUGUUAUUAGGGAAGAACAAAUGUGUAAGUAACUAUGCACGUCUUGACGGUACCUAAUCAGAAAGCCACGGCUAACUACGUG
RNAcentral lists this ribosomal RNA (496 nucleotides) under uncultured bacterium. Its description in RNAcentral is "partial 16S ribosomal RNA". It matches the Rfam family "Bacterial small subunit ribosomal RNA", at positions 29 to 507 of the family's 1533-position model. The record is from RNAcentral.